UGGGGAAUAUUGCACAAUGGAGGGAACUCUGAUGCAGCGACGCCGCGUGAACGAAGAAGGCUUUCGAGUCGUAAAGUUCUUUUAUAUGGGAAGAUAAUGACAGUACCAUAAGAAAAAGCCCCGGCUAACUACGUGCCAGCAGCCGCGGUAACACGUAGGGGGCUAGCGUUGUCCGGAAUCACUGGGCGUAAAGGGUUCGCAGGCGGAAAUGCAAGUCAGGUGUAAAAGGCAGUAGCUUAACUACUGUAAGCAUUUGAAACUGCAUAUCUUGAGAAGAGUAGAGGUAAGUGGAAUUUUUAGUGUAGCGGUGAAAUGCGUAGAUAUUAAAAAGAAUACCGGUGGCGAAGGCGACUUACUGGGCUCAUUCUGACGCUGAGGAACGAAAGCGUGGGUAGCAAACAGG
This 403-nucleotide ribosomal RNA is filed under the name bacterium. Its description in RNAcentral is "partial 16S ribosomal RNA". It matches the Rfam family "Bacterial small subunit ribosomal RNA", at positions 355 to 776 of the family's 1533-position model. The record is from RNAcentral.